CUAUUCAGGCAAUCGCUGCACACUUUGAUGUGUAGAGGAAAGUCCAUGCUCACACAGCUCUGAGACGACUGUAGUGUUCGUGCCUCGUGAAGUCAUAAACGAGGGCAGCUGCCAGGCUGACGGCAGAGAAAUCACCUAAGUCUUUGGAUACGGUGUAGUACUCUUGAAAGUGCCACAGUGACGAAGUCUUAUUCGGAAACGGUAAGAGUGGAACGCGGUAAACCCCACGAGUGAGAAACCCAAAUUAUGGUAGGGGCAUUUCCAUGAAGGAACUGAACGGAUUGGAAGACGGAGAUUCCGUAGAUAGAUGAUUGCCGCCCAGUAUGUACGAGGGGCUUCCCCGCUUGAGUACAUGGGAGACAAAACAUGGCUUACCGAA
RNAcentral lists this RNase P RNA (379 nucleotides) under Chryseomicrobium excrementi. Its description in RNAcentral is "RNase P RNA component class B". It matches the Rfam family "Bacterial RNase P class B". Rfam says of the family: Ribonuclease P (RNase P) is a ubiquitous endoribonuclease, found in archaea, bacteria and eukarya as well as chloroplasts and mitochondria. Its best characterised activity is the generation of mature 5'-ends of tRNAs by cleaving the 5'-leader elements of precursor-tRNAs. The record is from RNAcentral. Lineage: Bacteria; Bacillati; Bacillota; Bacilli; Caryophanales; Caryophanaceae.